AAGGUUAUGAUGAGCUGUGCAACUGUCUUGUUUAUCCACAGUUCGCUGUUUCAUUGCAGCGCCCCUUGUCACAAAAAGAAUUUAACCAUUUACAGAGCAGUGCCAGGAACAUCCAUCCGGGUGACUCUUCCACCUUGAAUUCAAGGUGAGUUGCUCUACUGAUUUCCAUCUUAUUUCCCUCAUGGUUUGGGUUGGAAAUGGUGAGGAGCUCUGAUGAGCUCCAUGUAACUGAUAUGAGGUUAAGUGGCAUUUCCACUGACUUUCAAAGGGUUAUGUGCAAACAGUCCUGGCUGUCUUUCUCUGUAGUCUCUUGGAUCCAAGGGUUUUGGCUUUCAAUCUUCGCCUUGCACUCUGCCAAAACCUCUAGUCAGUGUUUGUGCUUUGGUGGCGCUCAGUGUGAUGGAUAAAUUCUCACUUACCCUUCUAGGAGGAGGUGAAGAGGAAAGCUGAAGUCUUUAAUCUGCCUGUGAACAAAAACAGCUUGUGGCGGAUGUGAAUGGCUGAGUAGCGAUAUGCAAGCUACCCUGAAAGUACACAGAAUGGUCAGCUUUGGCACAGCAGCGCCGUACUGGCUGAAGGAUGAUUCACAUAUCUGAAAAAUAAAAGGAGCUUCACCUCAAAUAGAACCAUUUUUUGUGCUUAUUGUUAUCAGUGUGAUUAAACCUCCCGCCCCUGUCUGAGGCUGCAGACUGGUGAACAUCAGCCAUUCUCAGAGACAGCAGAGCCAGAAUUACCUGUGGCUGCUGAGGGGAUCUGGGACAGUCUGGCUAAGGAGAGUGCAGUAUGCUUAACCUGCUGGCUGGGCUGAAACACAGAAUGGCUUCCACUGAAGAUGUAUAUGGAAUCAGAGAGCUAUUCCACACCUGUAAACUGGACAACCAUCGUGCAUUCAUCUCUCGAGCUGAUUUUCACGGCCUUUGGUACGUUCACAUCUACAAAUCUGGCCCUGGAUAUCUCAAAUUGUGAAACAAUUUACCAUGGAAAAGCUGCUCCAGGCUAUGAUGAGCCACCACUCAUGCCUGCCACCAAUUUCAAAGGAUUUCGUGAACAUCAGUAUCAUUUGGAAUGCUUUUAUCAAAAGGUGUAUUGUCUACAGAAGGGCUCCUGUGAGUUGGAAGGCACUAGGUGGCAUUUUCAAAAUGGUCUGUGUAGCAUAGGAUCUCGGGUCCCAGUGAACAUCAGUAAAGAAGGGUGUCUUGGUCAUUGA
RNAcentral lists this long non-coding RNA (1207 nucleotides) under Coturnix japonica (Japanese quail). RNAcentral's name for it is "lncRNA (ENSCJPG00005020834.1)". Lineage: Eukaryota; Metazoa; Chordata; Aves; Galliformes; Phasianidae. The record is from RNAcentral.